CACGUAGGAGGCAAACGUUAUCCGGAUUUAUUGGGUUUAAAGGGUGCGCAGGCGGGAUGUUAAGUCGGCGGUGAAAUUUUGCGGCUCAACCGUAAAAGUGCCUUCGAAACUGGCAUUCUUGAGUAUGGAUGAAGUAGGCGGAAUUUGUGGUGUAGCGGUGAAAUGCUUAGAUAUCACGAGGAACUCCGAUUGCGCAGGCAGCUUACUAAACCAUAACUGACGCUCAUGCACGAAGGCGUGGGGAUCAAACAGG
This 253-nucleotide ribosomal RNA is filed under the name uncultured bacterium. RNAcentral describes it as "partial 16S ribosomal RNA". It matches the Rfam family "Bacterial small subunit ribosomal RNA", at positions 524 to 776 of the family's 1533-position model. The record is from RNAcentral.